GGUGGAGCAUGUGGUUUAAUUCGAAGCAACGCGAAGAACCUUACCUGGUCUUGACAUCCCGAUGACCUCUCUUUAACCGGAGCUUUUCUUCGGAACAUCGGAGACAGGUGGUGCAUGGUUGUCGUCAGCUCGUGUCGUGAGAUGUUGGGUUAAGUCCCGCAACGAGCGCAACCCUUAUCUUUAGUAGCCAGCGGUUUGGCCGGGCACUCUAGAGAGACUGCCAGGGAUAACCUGGAGGAAGGUGGGGAUGACGUCAAAUCAUCAUGCCCCUUAUGAUCAGGGCUACACACGUGCUACAAUGGCGUAAACAAAGGGAAGCAGAGCCGCGAGGCCGAGCAAAUCUCAAAAAUAACGUCUCAGUUCGGAUUGUAGUCUGCAACUCGACUACAUGAAGCUGGAAUCGCUAGUAAUCGCGAAUCAGAAUGUCGCGGUGAAUACGUUCCCGGGUCUUGUACACACCGCCCGUCACACCAUGGGAGUCGAUAAUGCCCGAAGUCGGUGACCCAACCUAACGGAGGGAGCCGCCGAAGGCAGGAUUGAUAACUGGGGUGAAGUCGU
This 558-nucleotide ribosomal RNA is filed under the name uncultured Enterococcus sp. Its description in RNAcentral is "bacterial SSU rRNA". It matches the Rfam family "Bacterial small subunit ribosomal RNA", at positions 931 to 1489 of the family's 1533-position model. Lineage: Bacteria; Bacillati; Bacillota; Bacilli; Lactobacillales; Enterococcaceae. The record is from RNAcentral.